UAAAGGGCUAAAUGGACUCUAUUUUUUGCAGCUUCCUGUGAAUCUACAGUCUUUUCAAAAUAAGGCUUACGUUGGAGAUGUUGUGGGUUCAGUUCCAUGCCACUACAAUAAAGCAAAUGCUGCAAUAAGUUCUUUGAGUAUAUAUGUGGGAGUGGAAUUGCUGGAUCAUGUGAUAACUGACUCGAUGGACAUGAGUUUGAGCAAGCUCUGGGAGUUGGUGAUGGACAUGGAAGCCUGGUGUGUUGCAGUCCAUGGGGUCGCAAAGAGUCAGA
This is a long non-coding RNA of Dama dama (fallow deer), 272 nucleotides long. RefSeq lists it as uncharacterized. Lineage: Eukaryota; Metazoa; Chordata; Mammalia; Artiodactyla; Cervidae. The record is from RefSeq and is a predicted model, not a curated record. The transcript has 3 exons.